Liolophura sinensis is the source of this 718-nucleotide long non-coding RNA. RefSeq lists it as uncharacterized. NCBI's taxonomy places the organism in Eukaryota, Metazoa, Mollusca, Polyplacophora, Chitonida, Chitonidae. The transcript has 3 exons. The record is from RefSeq and is a predicted model, not a curated record.
AGGACCUAAGGUUUUGCCCAUGACACAGAUGCAUAUGGAACCUGAUUCUGAGAGUUCUGCUGAUCAUUGAAAUGUAUUCUGAGAUGUGUUUGGGAGGUAGGAUGAUUCCUGUUGAAAAAAUGUGAGCUUAAGCACCAAAAGUAAUAUUAGGUCACUUACCAUAGUGGUGGUUUAGCCAGAUUUAAGUGGACCUGUGACAUACAGAAUACCUGCAUGGAGUUAGUGUCACAAAUGUAGUUUGUAUUUCCUUGAAAUCAUUUUCGAUUUUAAAUAAAUGUAUGAAGAACCUGGAUUAACUACACACUUAAUGUGUCUCAACAAAAUUCACAACUGUGUCCAGUUUAAUGUAAAUAUAUGGAUGCCUCCAUUGAAGUGACUGAAGUAAUAUCGUUGGCAGUUGAUCUGUAUCUUUCUUUUUGUUUUAGAUCUUUUCCAACACACCAUCACCUUAACACCUAGAAAUGCCCAGUAUGUUUAUAUGAAUUUACAUGCACGUAUAUGAUCGGAGAUGUCUUUUAAAAGAGAUGGGGACAACCCAGAUCUGCUGGGAAAUCUUAGAAAGCGAAGAGUACAGGAGCUGUUCGCAGAAGUAUUCCAGAAGACGAAGCAUUUUUGAUGAGGAAUGGCAGGUUUGCUUGUACUGUUUGUAACCAAAGGCCAGUGUUUGACACAGUCAGCAUGCUGGCUGUUCACAGACAAGGCAAGAAACACCUUGCAA